UCCGUAGGUGUUUUGUCAAGUCUGUCGUCAAAGAAUGGAGCUUAACUCCAUAGAGGCGGUGGAAACUGAGAGACUAGAGUUCGGUAGGGGUAGCGGGAAUUCCCAGUGUAGCGGUGAAAUGCGUAGAUAUUGGGAAGAACAUCGGUGGCGAAAGCGCGCUACUGGGCCGAAACUGACACUGAGGGACGAAAGCUAGGGUAGCGAAAG
RNAcentral lists this ribosomal RNA (207 nucleotides) under uncultured bacterium. Its description in RNAcentral is "partial 16S ribosomal RNA". It matches the Rfam family "Bacterial small subunit ribosomal RNA", at positions 568 to 774 of the family's 1533-position model. The record is from RNAcentral.